UACAGAGGGGGCAAGCGUUGUUCGGAAUCACUGGGCUUAAAGGGCGCGUAGGCGGCUCUCCAAGUCCGGGGUGAAAGCCUCCCGCCUAACGGGAGAAGAGCCUCGGAGACUGGGGAGCUCGAGGGGGGUAGGGGCGUGCGGAACUAUGGGUGGAGCGGUGAAAUGCAUUGAUAUCCAUAGGAACUCCGGUGGCGAAGGCGGCACGCUGGACCCCUUCUGACGCUGAGGCGCGAAAGCCAGGGGAGCAAACGGG
Molecule: ribosomal RNA, 253 nt
Filed under: uncultured bacterium
Lineage: Bacteria
Description: partial 16S ribosomal RNA
Rfam family: Bacterial small subunit ribosomal RNA
Source: RNAcentral